GUGGGGAAUCUUGCGCAAUGGGCGAAAGCCUGACGCAGCCAUGCCGCGUGAAUGAUGAAGGUCUUAGGAUUGUAAAAUUCUUUCACCGGGGACGAUAAUGACGGUACCCGGAGAAGAAGCCCCGGCUAACUUCGUGCCAGCAGCCGCGGUAAUACGAAGGGGGCUAGCGUUGCUCGGAAUUACUGGGCGUAAAGGGCGCGUAGGCGGACAGUUUAGUCAGAGGUGAAAGCCCAGGGCUCAACCUUGGAAUUGCCUUUGAUACUGGCUGUCUUGAGUACGGGAGAGGUGAGUGGAACUCCGAGUGUAGAGGUGAAAUUCGUAGAUAUUCGGAAGAACACCAGUGGCGAAGGCGACUCACUGGCCCGUUACUGACGCUGAGGCGCGAAAGCGUGGGGAGCAAACAGGAUUAGAAACCCCUGUAGUCC
Molecule: ribosomal RNA, 425 nt
Filed under: uncultured bacterium
Lineage: Bacteria
Description: bacterial SSU rRNA
Rfam family: Bacterial small subunit ribosomal RNA
Source: RNAcentral